CAAUAGCGUAUAUUUAAGUUGUUGCAGUUAAAGAGCUCGUAGUUGGAUUUCGGAUGGGAUUUGCCGGUCCGUCGUUACGAUGUGCACUGGCCAGUCCUAUCUUGUUGUCGGGGACUAGCUCCUUGGAUUCACUUCCUGGGACUAGGAGCUGACGAGGUUACUUUGAGUAAAUUAGAGUGUUCAAAGCAAGCCUACGCUCUGAAUACAUUAGCAUGGAAUAACACGAUAGGACUCUGGCUUAUCUUGUUGGUCUGUGAGACCAGAGUAAUGAUUAAGAGGGACAGUCGGGGACAUUCGUAUUUCAUUGUCAGAGGUGAAAUUCUUGGAUUUAUGAAAGACGAACUUCUGCGAAAGCAUUUGUCAAGGAUGUUUUCAUUAA
This 379-nucleotide ribosomal RNA is filed under the name uncultured eukaryote. Its description in RNAcentral is "partial 18S ribosomal RNA". It matches the Rfam family "Eukaryotic small subunit ribosomal RNA", at positions 592 to 976 of the family's 1831-position model. The record is from RNAcentral.